GAUGAACGCUGGCGGCGUGCUUAACACAUGCAAGUCGAACGGAAAGGCCCCUUUUUGGUUGCUUACUUGGCUGACGAACGAGUGAGACGCACGUAACCUGUCUUCCCCUCACGUCGAGCUAAACGUAAGUAAGUGUAAUUCCGAACAGGAAUCCUUGCUGCAUGGAUGGGGUUGUGAAACGUUGGCGGUUUUGGAUGGGCUCGCGGCUUAUCAGCUUGUUGGUGGGGUGUUGGCUUACCAAGGCUUUGACGGGUAGCCGGCCUGAGAGGGUGACCGGCCACAUUGGGACUGAGAUACGGCCCAGACUCCUACGGGAGGCAGCAGUGGGGAAUAUUGCACAAUGGGCGGAAGCCUGAUGCAGCAACGCCGCGUGCGGGAUGACGGCCUUCGGGUUGUAAACCGCUUUCAGCAGGGGCGAAGCGUGUGGUGACGGUACCUGCAGAAGAAGCACCGGCUAACUACGUG
RNAcentral lists this ribosomal RNA (465 nucleotides) under uncultured bacterium. Its description in RNAcentral is "partial 16S ribosomal RNA". It matches the Rfam family "Bacterial small subunit ribosomal RNA", at positions 28 to 507 of the family's 1533-position model. The record is from RNAcentral.